RNAcentral lists this ribosomal RNA (253 nucleotides) under uncultured bacterium. Its description in RNAcentral is "partial 16S ribosomal RNA". It matches the Rfam family "Bacterial small subunit ribosomal RNA", at positions 524 to 776 of the family's 1533-position model. The record is from RNAcentral.
UACGUAGGGCGCAAGCGUUAUCCGGAAUUAUUGGGCGUAAAGAGCUCGUAGGCGGUUUGUCGCGUCUGCCGUGAAAGUCCGGGGCUCAACUCCGGAUCUGCGGUGGGUACGGACAGACUAGAGUGAUGUAGGGGAGACUGGAAUUCCUGGUGUAGCGGUGAAAUGCGCAGAUAUCAGGAGGAACACCGAUGGCGAAGGCAGGUCUCUGGGCAUUAACUGACGCUGAGGAGCGAAAGCAUGGGGAGCGAACAGG